This 583-nucleotide ribosomal RNA is filed under the name uncultured fungus. RNAcentral describes it as "eukaryotic LSU rRNA". The stretch from base 260 to 417 matches the Rfam family "5.8S ribosomal RNA". Lineage: Eukaryota; Fungi. The record is from RNAcentral.
UCCGUAGGUGAACCUGCGGAAGGAUCAUUAACACAAACUGUGGCUGCGGAUGUGCACGUCGCCCUGCCUCCAAGCGGGGAUCAACGAUUGCUGCUGCCGCUCCACAUUUGGAUCCAUAUCCAUUUACCCCUGUGAACUGUUAAAGUCUUUCCAUCGUGAAAUUAACACCAAUGGAAUGUACUCUGACUGAACACAAGAGGCCAAGUGCGCGUGCGAUUUUUCGCGCAUGCACGACGCUUCGCAAAUCCAAACCAAAAACAACUUUUAACAACGGAUAUCUUGGUUCUCGCAACGAUGAAGAGCGCAGCAAAACGCGAUAUUUAAUAUGAGACGCAGAACUCAGUGAAUCAUCAAAAUCUUGAACGCACUUGGCGCCCUCGAGUCUCCGGGCUCUGGGGCAUAUCUGUUUGAGUGUCAACAAACCCCCCUCACAAAACUCCAACUUUCGGGUUGGGUUCAAACUGUGGACGUUGGUCGCUGUGCCUAACCAUAUACUGGUGGGUACACCGGCUCAAGCCGAGUGGUGAGAGGCUCGCGAAUCGCUCCUCGAACACUGACUGGGUAAGUUUCCUCUGGGGGAAAC